UACGCAGGGGGCAAGCGUUGUCCGGAAUCAUUGGGCGUAAAGCGCGUGUAGGCGGUUCGGUAAGUCUGCUGUGAAAGUCCAGGGCUCAACCCUGGGAUGCCGGUGGAUACUGUCGGACUAGAGUACGGAAGAGGCGAGUGGAAUUCCCGGUGUAGCGGUGAAAUGCGCAGAUAUCGGGAGGAACACCAAUUGCGAAGGCAGCUCGCUGGGACGUCACUGACGCUGAGACGCGAAAGCGUGGGGAGCAAACAGG
RNAcentral lists this ribosomal RNA (253 nucleotides) under uncultured bacterium. RNAcentral describes it as "partial 16S ribosomal RNA". It matches the Rfam family "Bacterial small subunit ribosomal RNA", at positions 524 to 776 of the family's 1533-position model. The record is from RNAcentral.